Molecule: long non-coding RNA, 507 nt
Organism: Homo sapiens (human)
Lineage: Eukaryota; Metazoa; Chordata; Mammalia; Primates; Hominidae
Exons: 3
Source: RefSeq, a predicted model, not a curated record
UUCUGUCCUGAGGAGUCUCUCCCUUGUCAACAUGGAUUAUGGCAGAUGCCUGAAAAGUUUCCAGAGGGGCUGGCCAACACAGGAGGCAGGGUCCCUGUAGCUAGAAGACCCAGCUGAAAAAUUUGCCUUCGACGGAAACAUGAACAUGAUAGGCGGCCUUACAGAGCAUAUGCCACUCUUUUUGGCAUAUGAGAAGCUCAUUGUAGCAGGCACUCCCGGAAUGUGAUAAGAAUAGUGGAGGUGAAGUUAGGCGUCAUAAAGAACUCUGAAAGCCAAGAGACUUCUCUCCUGAGCCUUUCAGCUUCCUGCUCUGUGGACCAGUUACUCUCCAGGCCAAUGGAGAAUCCCCUUUGCCACCAGCCUGGGCAUUCCCUUCACCUCUCUCCUGUGUUGGAGCUGUUCCUUCCUGGCGUUCGUGCGCUCUCUCUCUCCUGGUGUGGUGGAGCAUAUUGUCGAGUAGCUUCUUAAGACACGAUACUUGGAAGUAAGUUUGUUGAAAUUUUUGUA